AUGGCAAUUGUCCAUACAUACGGGAAGCCUGACAUCUUCUUGACCAUGACUUGCAACCCUAAAUGGGAAGAGAUCACAAAUGAGUUGCUUCCUGGACAGACGGCUCAAAACCGACCUGAUAUUGUGGCUCGCGUGUUGAUGAGGACAUUUCUUCUACUGUUACACCUGUCGCAACUCCUACAUCAGUUAUUCCACUUGGUCCUAUGA
This 207-nucleotide ribosomal RNA is filed under the name Triticum aestivum (bread wheat). RNAcentral describes it as "partial small subunit ribosomal RNA". The record is from RNAcentral. Lineage: Eukaryota; Viridiplantae; Streptophyta; Magnoliopsida; Poales; Poaceae.